This 460-nucleotide ribosomal RNA is filed under the name uncultured bacterium. RNAcentral describes it as "partial 16S ribosomal RNA". It matches the Rfam family "Bacterial small subunit ribosomal RNA", at positions 338 to 795 of the family's 1533-position model. The record is from RNAcentral.
CCUACGGGAGGCUGCAGUGAGGAAUAUUGGUCAAUGGGCGCGAGCCUGAACCAGCCAAGUAGCGUGAAGGAUGACUGCCCUACGGGUUGUCAACUUCUUUUAUAAAGGAAUAAAGUGAGGCACGUAUGCCUUUUUGUAUGUACUUUAUGACUAAGGAUCGGCUAACUCCGGGCCAGCAGCCGCGGUAAUACGGAGGAUCCGAGCGUUAUCCGGAUUUAUUUGGUUUAAAGUGAGCGUAGAUGGGUGGUUAAGUCAGUUGUGAAAGUUUGCGGCUCAACCGUAAAAUGGCAAUUGAUACUGGCAGUCUUGAGUACAGUUGAGGUAGGCGGAAUUCGUGGUGUAGCGGUGAAAUGCUUAGAUAUCACGAAGAACUCCGAUUGCGAAGGCAGCUUACUAAACUGCCACUGACAUUGAUGCUCGAAAGUGUGGGUAUCAAACAGGAUUAGAUACCCGAGUAGUC